AUUGAACGCUGGCGGCAGGCUUAACACAUGCAAGUCGAGCGGGGGAAGGUAGCUUGCUACUGGACCUAGCGGCGGACGGGUGAGUAAUGCUUAGGAAUCUGCCUAUUAGUGGGGGACAACAUCUCGAAAGGGAUGCUAAUACCGCAUACGUCCUACGGGAGAAAGCAGGGGAUCUUCGGACCUUGCGCUAAUAGAUGAGCCUAAGUCGGAUUAGCUAGUUGGUGGGGUAAAGGCCUACCAAGGCGACGAUCUGUAGCGGGUCUGAGAGGAUGAUCCGCGACACUGGGACUGAGACACGGCCCAGACUCCUACGGGAGGCAGCAGUGGGAAAUAUUGGACAAUGGGGGGAACCCUGAUCCAGCCAUGCCGCGUGUGUGAAGAAGGCCUUAUGGUUGUAAAGCACUUUAAGCGAGGAGGAGGCUACUCUAGUUAAUACCUAGGGAUAGUGGACGUUACUCGCAGAAUAAGCACCGGCUAACUCUGUGCCAGCCGCCGCGGUAA
RNAcentral lists this ribosomal RNA (501 nucleotides) under uncultured bacterium. RNAcentral describes it as "partial 16S ribosomal RNA". It matches the Rfam family "Bacterial small subunit ribosomal RNA", at positions 30 to 523 of the family's 1533-position model. The record is from RNAcentral.